This 497-nucleotide ribosomal RNA is filed under the name uncultured bacterium. Its description in RNAcentral is "partial 16S ribosomal RNA". It matches the Rfam family "Bacterial small subunit ribosomal RNA", at positions 28 to 507 of the family's 1533-position model. The record is from RNAcentral.
GAUGAACGCUGGCGGCGUGCCUAAUACAUGCAAGUCGAGCGAACAGACGAGGAGCUUGCUCCUCUGACGUUAGCGGCGGACGGGUGAGUAACACGUGGAUAAUCUACCUAUAAGACUGGGAUAACUUCGGGAAACCGGAGCUAAUACCGGAUAAUAUAUUGAACAGCAUGGUUCAAUAGUGAAAGACGGGUUUGCUGUCACUUAUAGAUGGAUCCGCGCCGCAUUAGCUAGUUGGUAAGGUAACGGCUUACCAAGGCAACGAUGCGUAGCCGACCUGAGAGGGUGACCGGCCCCACUUGAACUGGUACCCGGUCCAGAAUACUACGGUAGGCACCACUAGGAAAUCUUCCGCGAUGGGCGAAAGCCUGACGGAACAGCGCAGCGUGAUUAAUGAAACUCUACGGAUCGUAAAACUCUGUUUUUUGGGAGGAACAAAUUUGAAAAUUACUAUGCCCGUCUUGACGGUACCUAAUCAGAAAGCCACGGCUAACUACGUG